This 878-nucleotide long non-coding RNA is filed under the name Rattus norvegicus (Norway rat). RNAcentral describes it as "long non-coding RNA NONRATT022000". Lineage: Eukaryota; Metazoa; Chordata; Mammalia; Rodentia; Muridae. The record is from RNAcentral.
UGGCUACUUAGAACAUUUCUGGAUUAGUCUAAGUUAGGAUGGUCCAGCUGUGUUUCCUCUGCUUCCAACUGUCCUUCUUCCUGUGUGCUGGCAGAAGGAACGUCAUGUGGACCAUCAGCAGAGAUCAAUCCAUUUGACUCUUCUUGAUUCUCACCAGUACUGCUCUCUUCAACUGUCACGUCAUUUUCUAGGGACUGGCUAUUACUCAAUAGCUUUGCCUGCCUUCUUUCCAAGGCCAGUUGUUUAUUUCUCUCAAUUCUCUGCUGCUGCUCUUCUGUUAGGUUUCUACUCGCUUCAGAAGCAAACCUCUUGCUGUCAGAUGAACUUGUCACAAAGGCAUCAAAUCCAGUGGCAGCUGCAUCAAGGCUGUUAGUUUCCUCAACUUCAUCGUUAUUGUUAACAAAAUCUUCAUGUACAAUAGGCAGAUCAAGUCGAAUUCGUUUUAAACAGGUCUGAACCUCCUUUUUAUUUCCUAGGUUUUCAACUCUGUCAAUAAAAUCUUCAAAUUGCAGUUUGGGGAAUAGCCUAUGCGCCCAGUGCUCCAUGUGUCUGAUUAGCGUUUUCAAGUCUUCAGCCUCAUGACCUUUCCCCUUGAAUUUUGUCUUAUCAAAUACAUGCCUUAAGGCUGGAAGCCCUCUCUCUGAAGUCAAUCUUGUAGCAUCUAGCUUGGGUAUAUUCCUUUUAACUAUUCUCUUUGGCGGAACAGGAACAGGUGCUCCACUCCCUUCAUCAGCUUCAGCUUCUGCAGGAUCUCUCUCUGGAGAGCCCGGAGGUGGGAAGGGAGGAAAAGUUUCAUCCUCUACAUGUUCAUAAUCUGGUAUUUCAAACAAGCCAUUUUCUUCUUGCUCCAACAUUUUUUCCUCACCCAAACGGCGGCC